This 383-nucleotide ribosomal RNA is filed under the name uncultured bacterium. RNAcentral describes it as "bacterial SSU rRNA". It matches the Rfam family "Bacterial small subunit ribosomal RNA", at positions 30 to 414 of the family's 1533-position model. The record is from RNAcentral.
AUUGAACGCUGGCGGCAUGCCUUACACAUGCAAGUCGAACGGUAACGGGCCUUCGGGUGCCGACGAGUGGCGAACGGGUGAGUAAUGCAUCGGAACGUGCCUUUCAGUGGGGGAUAACGUAGCGAAAGUUACGCUAAUACCGCAUAUUCUGUGAGCAGGAAAGCAGGGGAUCGCAAGACCUUGCGCUGAUUGAGCGGCCGAUGUCAGAUUAGCUAGUUGGUGAGGUAAAGGCUCACCAAGGCGACGAUCUGUAGCGGGUCUGAGAGGAUGAUCCGCCACACUGGAACUGAGACACGGUCCAGACUCCUACGGGAGGCAGCAGUGGGGAAUUUUUGGACAAUGGGGGCAACCCUGAUCCAGCCAUGCCGCGUGAGUGAAGAAGG